Molecule: ribosomal RNA, 1637 nt
Filed under: human gut metagenome
Description: bacterial LSU rRNA
Rfam family: Bacterial large subunit ribosomal RNA
Source: RNAcentral
GCAGCCACUCAUUAAAAGAGUGCGUAAUAGCUCACUGGUCGAGUGACUCUGCGCGGAAAAUAUAACGGGGCUAAGCAUACAACCGAAGCUUGGGAUUGUCUAAAGACAGUGGUAGGGGAGCGUCGUGUAUGGGGUGAAGUCGCAUCGGAAGGAGCGGUGGACUGUACACGAGUGAGAAUGCCGGAAUGAGUAGCGAGAAUUAUGUGGGAAUCAUAAUGGCCGAAAAUCUAAGGUUUCUUGGGGAAGGUUCGUCCGCCCAAGGUAAGCCGGGAGCUAAGGCGAGGCCGCAAGGCGUAGUCGAUGCACAUACGGUAAAGAUUCCGUAGCCGCCGAACUUUAAGUCAGAGGGACACUUGCAGAUAGCGGAACCCAGCCGUUGGUUGAGCUGGGCGAAAGGGACUGAAAUUAGUAGGGAAGUCCGCGAUGCUGAAAGGCGAGAAAAGCUCUGAUGGAUACUAAGGCGCCCGUACCGCAAACCGACACAGGUAGAUGAGGAGAGAAUCCUAAGGCCAACGGGAGAAGGGUUGUUAAGGAACUCGGCAAAUUGACCCCGUAACUUCGGAAGAAGGGGAGCCCCGAAAGGGGCCGCAGUGAAUAGGCCCAAGCAACUGUUUACCAAAAACACAGGUUUAUGCUAAAUCGAAAGAUGACGUAUAUGAGCUGACGCCUGCCCGGUGCCGGAAGGUUAAGAGGAGAGCUUAGAGGCAACUCGAAGGUUUGAAUUGAAGCCCCGGUAAACGGCGGCCGUAACUAUAACGGUCCUAAGGUAGCGAAAUUCCUUGUCAGGUAAGUUCUGACCCGCACGAAUGGCGUAAUGAUUUGGGCACUGUCUCGACAGCCCGCCCGGCGAAAUUGUAGUACUGGUGAAGAUGCCAGUUACCCGCAACUAGACGGAAAGACCCCAUGGAGCUUUACUGCAGUUUAAUACUGGGAAUCGGUAAUGCAUGUACAGGAUAGGUGGGAGACAUGGAAGCAUGGUCGUCAGGUCAUGUGGAGUCACCGGUGGGAUACCACUCUUGUAUUGCUGAUUUCCUAACCUGCGGCCGUGAAUCCGGUCGGGGGACACUGUUAGACGGGCAGUUUGACUGGGGCGGUCGCCUCCAAAAGAGUAACGGAGGCGCUCAAAGGUUCGUUCAGCACGGACGGAAAUCGUGCAUUGAGUGUAAACGCAUAAACGAGCCUAACUGCGAGACCGACGGGUCGAGCAGUAACGAAAGUUGGAGUUAGUGAUCCGGUGGUAUGUGAGUGGAAAUGCCAUCGCUCAACGGAUAAAAGCUACCCUGGGGAUAACAGGCUGAUCUCCCCCAAGCGUCCACAGCGACGGGGAGGUUUGGCACCUCGAUGUCGGCUCGUCGCAUCCUGGGGCUGUAUUCGGUCCCAAGGGUUUGGCUGUUCGCCAAUUAAAGCGGCACGCGAGCUGGGUUCAGAACGUCGUGAGACAGUUCGGUCCCUAUCUGUUGCGGGCGUAAGAGAUUUGAAGGGAGCUGUCCUUAGUACGAGAGGACCGGGAUGGACGUACCUCUGGUGCACCAGUUGUCCUGCCAAGGGCAUAGCUGGGUAGCUAUGUACGGACGAGAUAAACGCUGAAAGCAUCUAAGCGUGAAACUCCCCCUAAGAUGAGAUCUCUCAUCCUUUAU